RNAcentral lists this transfer RNA (73 nucleotides) under Stegodyphus mimosarum. It matches the Rfam family "tRNA". Rfam says of the family: Transfer RNA (tRNA) molecules are approximately 80 nucleotides in length. Their secondary structure includes four short double-helical elements and three loops (D, anti-codon, and T loops). Lineage: Eukaryota; Metazoa; Arthropoda; Arachnida; Araneae; Eresidae. The record is from Rfam by way of RNAcentral.
GCCUUCGUAGUGUAGUGAUCAGCACGCUCGGCUUGUAUUCGAGAGGUUAGUGGUUCAAGUCUCGGCGAGGGCA